AUGGGUCGGUGAGACGGUCGCGUCACUCCCCCGGGAGUGCCGAGGAACGUCCGGGCUCCACAGAGCAGGGCGGUGGGUAACACCCACCCGGAGCAAUCCGCGAGACAGUGCCACAGAAAGCAGACCGCCGGCGGCGACGUCGGUAAGGGUGAAACGGUGGUGUAAGAGACCACCAGGGGUCCGGGUGACCGGAUCCGCUCGGUAAACCUCGCCCGGAGCAAGGUCAGACAGAGGACGUCGAGGCUGCUCGCCGAGUCCUCGGGUAGACCGCUGGAGGCCGACGGCAACGUCGGUCCGAGAGAGAUGGCCGUCACCGCCGCGCGAGCGGCGGGACAGAACCCGGCGUACGGCCGGCCCAUUCGC
Non-coding RNA from Curtobacterium sp. MCBA15_008, 363 nucleotides. The record is from Rfam. Lineage: Bacteria; Bacillati; Actinomycetota; Actinomycetes; Micrococcales; Microbacteriaceae.